ACCCGGAAACCCGGGGUUAAUCCCGAAUAAUUUUUUGACCCGCGGGGUUCAAAUUUAAAGGGGGGUUUCGGUUGCCCUUUUGGGGGGGCCCCGCGUCGAUUUAGUUAUUGGGGGGGGAAACGGCCCCCCAGGGAAACGAGGCUUACCCAACCUGAGGGGGUGACCGCCCACCCGGGGCCUGAAACCCGCCCCAAACUCCUCCGGGGGGCAGCAGUAGGAAAUCUUCCGAAUGGAAAAAAAUUCUGAGGAAGCACCCCCGCGGGAGGAAUAAAGGCUUUCGGGCCGAAAAACUCUGUUGUUAGGAAAAAACAGGUGCUAUUUGAAUAAGGGGGCCCCUUGACGGUACUUACCCAAAAGGCCCCGGUUAACUCCGUGCCAGCACCCGGGGAAAUACGUAGGGGGCAAGUUUUUUCCCGGAUUUUUUGGGC
Molecule: ribosomal RNA, 428 nt
Filed under: bacterium WA9U2
Lineage: Bacteria
Description: partial 16S ribosomal RNA
Rfam family: Bacterial small subunit ribosomal RNA
Source: RNAcentral